AGACGGAGGGGGCUAGCGUUGUUCGGAAUUACUGGGCGUAAAGCGCGCGUAGGCGGAUUGAUCAGUCAGAGGUGAAAUCCCAGGGCUCAACCCUGGAACUGCCUUUGAUACUGUCAGUCUUGAGUUCGGGAGAGGUGAGUGGAAUUCCGAGUGUAGAGGUGAAAUUCGUAGAUAUUCGGAGGAACACCAGUGGCGAAGGCGGCUCACUGGCUCGAUACUGACGCUGAGGUGCGAAAGCGUGGGGAGCAAACAGGAUUAGAUACCCGAGUAGUCC
Molecule: ribosomal RNA, 274 nt
Filed under: uncultured bacterium
Lineage: Bacteria
Description: partial 16S ribosomal RNA
Rfam family: Bacterial small subunit ribosomal RNA
Source: RNAcentral